This 1152-nucleotide ribosomal RNA is filed under the name Escherichia coli. RNAcentral describes it as "partial 23S ribosomal RNA". It matches the Rfam family "Bacterial large subunit ribosomal RNA", at positions 1 to 1194 of the family's 2925-position model. Lineage: Bacteria; Pseudomonadati; Pseudomonadota; Gammaproteobacteria; Enterobacterales; Enterobacteriaceae. The record is from RNAcentral.
GGUUAAGCGACUAAGCGUACACGGUGGAUGCCCUGGCAGUCAGAGGCGAUGAAGGACGUGCUAAUCUGCGAUAAGCGUCGGUAAGGUGAUAUGAACCGUUAUAACCGGCGAUUUCCGAAUGGGGAAACCCAGUGUGUUUCGACACACUAUCAUUAACUGAAUCCAUAGGUUAAUGAGGCGAACCGGGGGAACUGAAACAUCUAAGUACCCUGAGGAAAAGAAAUCAACCGAGAUUCCCCCAGUAGCGGCGAGCGAACGGGGAGCAGCCCAGAGCCUGAAUCAGUAUGUGUGUUAGUGGAAGCGUCUGGAAAGGCGCGCGAUACAGGGUGACAGCCCCGUACACAAAAAUGCACAUGCUGUGAGCUCGAUGAGUAGGGCGGGACACGUGGUAUCCUGUCUGAAUAUGGGGGGACCAUCCUCCAAGGCUAAAUACUCCUGACUGACCGAUAGUGAACCAGUACCGUGAGGGAAAGGCGAAAAGAACCCCGGCGAGGGGAGUGAAAAAGAACCUGAAACCGUGUACGUACAAGCAGUGGGAGCACGCUUAGGCGUGUGACUGCGUACCUUUUGUAUAAUGGGUCAGCGACUUAUAUUCUGUAGCAAGGUUAACCGAAUAGGGGAGCCGAAGGGAAACCGAGUCUUAACUGGGCGUUAAGUUGCAGGGUAUAGACCCGAAACCCGGUGAUCUAGCCAUGGGCAGGUUGAAGGUUGGGUAACACUAACUGGAGGACCGAACCGACUAAUGUUGAAAAAUUAGCGGAUGACUUGUGGCUGGGGGUGAAAGGCCAAUCAAACCGGGAGAUAGCUGGUUCUCCCCGAAAGCUAUUUAGGUAGCGCCUCGUGAAUUCAUCUCCGGGGGUAGAGCACUGUUUCGGCAAGGGGGUCAUCCCGACUUACCAACCCGAUGCAAACUGCGAAUACCGGAGAAUGUUAUCACGGGAGACACACGGCGGGUGCUAACGUCCGUCGUGAAGAGGGAAACAACCCAGACCGCCAGCUAAGGUCCCAAAGUCAUGGUUAAGUGGGAAACGAUGUGGGAAGGCCCAGACAGCCAGGAUGUUGGCUUAGAAGCAGCCAUCAUUUAAAGAAAGCGUAAUAGCUCACUGGUCGAGUCGGCCUGCGCGGAAGAUGUAACGGGGCUAAACCAUGCAC